Molecule: ribosomal RNA, 387 nt
Filed under: uncultured microorganism
Description: bacterial SSU rRNA
Rfam family: Archaeal small subunit ribosomal RNA
Source: RNAcentral
GUGCACCAGGCGAGAAACUUCACACUGUGCGAAAGCACGAUGAGGGAAUCCCAAGUGCUUGCACGUAAGUGUAAGCUGUUUCUCUGUCUAAAACGCAGAGAGAGUAAGGGCUGGGUAAGACGGGUGCCAGCCGCCGCGGUAAUACCUGCAGCUCAAGUGGUGACCGUUAUUAUUGGGCCUAAAACGUCCGUAGCCGGUUUAAUAAAUGCCUGGGUAAAUUGUGUAGCUUAACUAUACGAAUUCCGGGUAGACUGUUAAACUUGAGACCGGGAGAAGUUAGAGGUACUCCUGGGGUAGAGGCGAAAUUCUGUAAUCCUAGGGGGACCACCAGUGGCGAAGGCGUCUAACUAGAACGGGUCUGACGGUGAGGGACGAAGCCCUGGGGCG